This 465-nucleotide ribosomal RNA is filed under the name uncultured Dialister sp. Its description in RNAcentral is "bacterial SSU rRNA". It matches the Rfam family "Bacterial small subunit ribosomal RNA", at positions 338 to 795 of the family's 1533-position model. The record is from RNAcentral. Lineage: Bacteria; Bacillati; Bacillota; Negativicutes; Veillonellales; Veillonellaceae.
CCUACGGGUGGCAGCAGUGGGGAAUCUUCCGCAAUGGGCGAAAGCCUGACGGAGCAACGCCGCGUGAGUGAUGACGGCCUUCGGGUUGUAAAACUCUGUGAUCCGGGACGAAAAGGCAGAGUGCGAAGAACAAACUGCAUUGACGGUACCGGAAAAGCAAGCCACGGCUAACUACGUGCCAGCAGCCGCGGUAAUACGUAGGUGGCAAGCGUUGUCCGGAAUUAUUGGGCGUAAAGCGCGCGCAGGCGGCUUCCCAAGUCCCUCUUAAAAGGGCGGGGCUUAACCCCGUGAUGGGAAGGAAACUGGGAAGCGGGAGUAUCGGAGAGGAAAGUGGAAUUCCUAGUGUAGCGGUGAAAUGCGUAGAGAUUAGGAAGAACACCGGUGGCGAAGGCGACUUUCUGGACGAAAACUGACGCUGAGGCGCGAAAGCGUGGGGAGCAAACAGGAUUAGAUACCCGAGUAGUC